AAAUGAUAAAGGUAAGAUUAGAGCAGUACUCACUGGAUUCCAAAAUGUUAAUGAUACAGGGACCUUUCCCUUUUAACAUGUUCAUCAUUUAAAUUAAUCUUAAACAAAGCCUGCAAAAUAGUUUUAGCUCCUGUGUAUAAAAUGGGCAAAAAUAUGUAGUGUAUUUGUAUAGUAUAGUGUGUGUGUACACUAUUUAUGCAUGCUUUUUCUGGAUAAGCAGAAUAUAACUGUCAAUAGUGGAGUAGAAACCUUAGUACAUUUGACAGCUGUUCCCUCCCACAUCUUCACGAUCACACUUAAAAAUAGGGCUGGGAAUAGCUCUGACAGUACCUUACAAUUACAUUAUCUUGCAAUUUCAAGACAGAGCUGGCUGUUAAUAACUGGAGUUAGUUCUGGCUUCAUCCAUCUUCUUGACUUCCUGCUCAUUCCUGUUAUGUAACAGGAAAUGGAAAAAAAAAAGUGGAUGCAGUCUAAAGGCAAGGUCAUUUCUCUAUGCUGACUUUAGCAGCUAUUGUAACAGUUCAGAGGAGUUGUUAGAAACAUGUUUGAACAAUGUUUGUUUAGAUGCUUGCCUUGGAAGGAAUUUAUGAGUCAGUCGUAUGUUAGUUUCCAUAGGAUCUUCCUGAGCAGAUCUACCCACUGACUUCUGCAAAGGAAUACAGAAAUUUGAAAAGAGAAUAGAUGUACCUGACCUUUUUAAAACUCUUCUCCUUGGUCAGCCUUCCUAUGAUAAGUUUUGUGAUCCAGCUGUCACACAAAAACACCUUUCUAGAGCAUUAUUCCAAUAGUAAGCCAGUGGGAUUUUGUUUUUCUGUUAGGAAGUAUUUCAGUGGGACAUACUGCUGUGCAGCUGUUUGUGUGGUUUGCGAGAGGAUACUACUUAAUGUAAUCAUUCAUUUACAAGAAUUCAAAAACCAGAUGAAGUGUGAUAUAAUACUGCUCCUUCUCCUUGUUAUAAAACAGGGAAUGGAAGAGGUUAAGAAACAAUUUUAUACUCAGAAGAGG
Oxyura jamaicensis (ruddy duck) is the source of this 1005-nucleotide long non-coding RNA. RefSeq lists it as uncharacterized. The transcript is spliced from 3 exons. NCBI's taxonomy places the organism in Eukaryota, Metazoa, Chordata, Aves, Anseriformes, Anatidae. The record is from RefSeq and is a predicted model, not a curated record.